GUGCCAGCGCCGCGGUAAUACGGAGGAUGCGAGCGUUAUCCGGAUUCAUUGGGUUUAAAGGGUGCGUAGGCGGUUUUUUAAGUCAGUGGUGAAAUCCUGCGGCUCAACCGUAGAACUGCCAUUGAAACUGAAGAACUUGAAUAUAGUUGAGGUAGGCGGAAUGUGCAGUGUAGCGGUGAAAUGCUUAGAUAUUGCACAGAACACCGAUUGCGAAGGCAGCUUACCAAGCUAUUAUUGACGCUGAGGCACGAAAGCGUGGGGAUCGAACAGG
RNAcentral lists this ribosomal RNA (271 nucleotides) under uncultured bacterium. RNAcentral describes it as "partial 16S ribosomal RNA". It matches the Rfam family "Bacterial small subunit ribosomal RNA", at positions 505 to 776 of the family's 1533-position model. The record is from RNAcentral.